GUCCUUUUGUUAAAAAUUUAAGGUCUGGCCUGCUCUAUGAGGAAUUAAAUGGCCGCAGUAUUUUGACUGUGCUAAGGUAGCAUAAUCAUUAGUUUUUUAAUUGAAAGCUGGAAUGAAGGGUUGGAUGAAGAAAAGACUAUUUUUAUUUAAUUAUAUUAAAAUUUUAUUUUUAAGUUAAAAAGCUUAAAUUUUAUUAAAAGACGAGAAGACCCUAUAGAGUUUAAUAUAAAUUAGAUUUAAUAAAAUUAGGAUUUAUUUUUUUAUUUUAAAUUUAUAUUUAAUUGGGGUGAUUGAAAAAUUUAUUUAACUUUUUUUUUAUUUUAAUACUAAUAAGUAAUUUUUUGAUCCAAUAUUUUUGAUUAUAAGAUAAAAUUACCUUAGGGAUAACAGCGUAAUUUUAUUAGAGAGUUCAAAUCGAUAAUAAAGAUUGCGACCUCGAUGUUGGAUUAAAAUUUAUAAUUGGUGUAGAAGCUAAUUAAUUGAGUCUGUUCGACUUUUGAAAUUUUACA
RNAcentral lists this ribosomal RNA (509 nucleotides) under Ophraella sp. BMNH#704472. RNAcentral's name for it is "partial 16S ribosomal RNA". The stretch from base 383 to 509 matches the Rfam family "Archaeal large subunit ribosomal RNA", at positions 2542 to 2669 of the family's 2987-position model. The record is from RNAcentral. Lineage: Eukaryota; Metazoa; Arthropoda; Insecta; Coleoptera; Chrysomelidae.